UACGGGGGGGGCAAGCGUUGUUCGGAAUUACUGGGCGUAAAGGGCGCGUAGGCGGACAGUUUAGUCAGAGGUGAAAGCCCAGGGCUCAACCCUGGAAUUGCCUUUGAUACUGGCUGUCUUGAGUUCGGGAGAGGUGAGUGGAAUGCCGAGUGUAGAGGUGAAAUUCGUAGAUAUUCGGCGGAACACCAGUGGCGAAGGCGACUCACUGGCCCGAUACUGACGCUGAGGCGCGAAAGCGUGGGGAGCAAACAGG
RNAcentral lists this ribosomal RNA (253 nucleotides) under uncultured bacterium. Its description in RNAcentral is "partial 16S ribosomal RNA". It matches the Rfam family "Bacterial small subunit ribosomal RNA", at positions 524 to 776 of the family's 1533-position model. The record is from RNAcentral.